UACGUAGGGGGCUAGCGUUGUCCGGAAUCAUUGGGCGUAAAGAGCGUGUAGGCGGUCCGGUCAGUCGGUUGUGAAAGUCAAGGGCUCAACCCUUGAAUGCCGGCCGAUACUGCCGGGCUAGAGUCCGGAAGAGGUGAGUGGAAUUCCUGGUGUAGCGGUGAAAUGCGCAGAUAUCAGGAGGAACACCGGUGGCGAAGGCGGGUCUCUGGGCCGAAAUUGACGCUGAGGAGCGAAAGCGUGGGGAGCAAACAGG
RNAcentral lists this ribosomal RNA (253 nucleotides) under uncultured bacterium. RNAcentral's name for it is "partial 16S ribosomal RNA". It matches the Rfam family "Bacterial small subunit ribosomal RNA", at positions 524 to 776 of the family's 1533-position model. The record is from RNAcentral.